CCUAGAGUUGUAGGCUUUGCCUGCUAUCUCUUACCCAUGUCUUUUGAGUACCUUACGUUUCCUCGGCGGGUCCGCCCGCCGAUAGGACAAUUUAAACCAUUUGCAGUUGCAAUCAGCGUCUGAAAAACUUAAUAGUUA
This 138-nucleotide unclassified non-coding RNA is filed under the name soil metagenome. Its description in RNAcentral is "partial internal transcribed spacer 1". The record is from RNAcentral.